RNAcentral lists this ribosomal RNA (253 nucleotides) under uncultured bacterium. RNAcentral's name for it is "partial 16S ribosomal RNA". It matches the Rfam family "Bacterial small subunit ribosomal RNA", at positions 524 to 776 of the family's 1533-position model. The record is from RNAcentral.
UACGUAGGGACCGGGCGUUGUCCGGAAUCAUUGGGCGUAAAGAGCGUGUAGGCGGCUCGCUAAGUCUUGCGUGAAAUCUCGGGGCUCAACCCCGAGCGGUCGUGAGAAACUGGCGGGCUAGAGUGCGGGAGAGGAGAGUGGAAUUCCUGGUGUAGCGGUGAAAUGUGUAGAGAUCGGGAGGAACACCGGUGGCGAAGGCGGGUCUCUGGGCAUCUCCUGACGCUGAGGCGCGAAAGCGUGGGGAGCAAACGGG